This 348-nucleotide transfer-messenger RNA is filed under the name uncultured Blautia sp. It matches the Rfam family "transfer-messenger RNA". From Rfam's summary of the family: Bacterial tmRNA, also known as 10Sa RNA or SsrA, is named for its dual tRNA and mRNA-like properties. The record is from RNAcentral. Lineage: Bacteria; Bacillati; Bacillota; Clostridia; Lachnospirales; Lachnospiraceae.
GGGCUUGUACUGGUUUCGACGGGGGUUUUGAAGUUGUGGAAGCCAUCCGCAGAGUCCGGGACUGCGUACCAACCUGGAACUUAAAUAUAAACGCAGAAGAAAAUUACGCGUUAGCAGCCGCUUAAGGCCGCUCGUCAGUCCCACUGCACUCACACGGAGGGAGUCUGGCGUCGAUCAUGUGAGAAACCUUGCCGGUUAAGCUUUGUCCCGGCAGAUGUAUCAUGAAGCUACUGAAUCCGUAAGCCUGUCGGUGGGCGUAUGGAGGAGGGAAUGUUAAAACAGCGACUGUGAUGGGAGAUGCCGCAGUGGAUAGGCUUUCGGACGCGGGUUCGAUUCCCGCCAGGUCCA